CAAGCAUAAUAAGAAUUGUGUUAACAAUGCCAGAUCUGUUGGUCAUCUUCUGGGAAUGUAUUAAUUACGGAAAAACGCGUCUUUGUCGUGAGACAAAGCCAGUCGUGUUUGUUUUAGAGCGGUCAAUGCCGGGGACCGGGUGGUGGCUCAUCCAUAUAAAAACCCUGCGAUGCCCACGUGCCUUUGUCAGUUGUAUGGCACUCUCACCACUGGAAUACAAUGAUCGCCAAAAUCUUUGUUUCAUUAUGUCUUUGUGCCUUGGUCUUCGCUUCGCCAGAGCCUGAGAAAGACCUCAAAACCGAGAAUACUUUCGGUUUCGGAUAUUCUUUAGGGUUCGGCAAACACUUCUAUGCCAGUUACUAUCCUUCCUACUACGGUUACGGUGGAUAUCCGUACGGAAGCUACGGAUUCGGAUAUUACGGCUACCCUUACUACAAUUACUACCCUUAUUCUUACUAUGGCUUCUAUUGAUCACUAUUUGCAAGGGAGAUAAAUUGUAAAUUGAUGUAUAAAUAAUAAAUUUUUAAUACUUA
RNA transcript from Cimex lectularius (bed bug), 533 nucleotides. It is a transcript of the gene named prismalin-14, with no coding region annotated. The record is from RefSeq and is a predicted model, not a curated record. The transcript is spliced from 4 exons. NCBI's taxonomy places the organism in Eukaryota, Metazoa, Arthropoda, Insecta, Hemiptera, Cimicidae.